GGGUCAGUAGGUUGGUCGUGCCACCGGUACGUACUGGUCUCACUGAUUCCUCCUUCCUGAAGAACCGUAAUGCCAUUAAUUUGGUGUUGCGGGGAAACAGGACUGUUACCUUGAAAAAAUUAGAGUGCUUAAAGCAAGCUAACGCUUGAAUACAUUAGCAUGGAAUAAUGAAAUAGGACGAUCGAUCCUAUUUUGUUGGUUUCUAGGAUUGACGUA
RNAcentral lists this ribosomal RNA (216 nucleotides) under Glomeromycotina sp. Its description in RNAcentral is "partial small subunit ribosomal RNA". The stretch from base 44 to 216 matches the Rfam family "Eukaryotic small subunit ribosomal RNA", at positions 690 to 864 of the family's 1831-position model. Lineage: Eukaryota; Fungi; Glomeromycota. The record is from RNAcentral.